GAUGAACGCUGGCGGCGUGCCUAAUACAUGCAAGUCGAGCGAACGGACGAGAAGCUUGCUUCUCUGAUGUUAGCGGCGGACGGGUGAGUAACACGUGGAUAACCUACCUAUAAGACUGGGAUAACUUCGGGAAACCGGAGCUAAUACCGGAUAAUAUUUUGAACCGCAUGGUUCAAAAGUGAAAGACGGUCUUGCUGUCACUUAUAGGUGGAUCCGCGCUGCAUUAGCUAGUUGGUAAGGUAACGGCUUACCAAGGCAACGAUGCAUAGCCGACCUGAGAGGGUGAUCGGCCACACUGGAACUGAGACACGGUCCAGACUCCUACGGGAGGCAGCAGUAGGGAAUCUUCCGCAAUGGGCGAAAGCCUGACGGAGCAACGCCGCGUGAGUGAUGAAGGUCUUCGGAUCGUAAAACUCUGUUAUUAGGGAAGAACAUAUGUGUAAGUAACUGUGCACAUCUUGACGGUACCUAAUCAGAAAACCACGGCUAACUACGUG
This 497-nucleotide ribosomal RNA is filed under the name uncultured bacterium. Its description in RNAcentral is "partial 16S ribosomal RNA". It matches the Rfam family "Bacterial small subunit ribosomal RNA", at positions 28 to 507 of the family's 1533-position model. The record is from RNAcentral.